GGGGAAUAUUGAACAAUGGGCGCAAGCCUGAUCCAGCCAUGCCGCGUGAGUGAUGAAGGCCCUAGGGUUGUAAAGCUCUUUCACCGGUGAAGAUAAUGACGGUAACCGGAGAAGAAGCCCCGGCUAACUUCGUGCCAGCAGCCGCGGUAAUACGAAGGGGGCUAGCGUUGUUCGGAAUUACUGGGCGUAAAGCGCACGUAGGCGGAUCGGUCAGUUAGGGGUGAAAUCCCAGGGCUCAACCCUGGAACUGCCUUUAAUACUGCCGGUCUGGAGUUCGAGAGAGGUGAGUGGAAUUCCGAGUGUAGAGGUGAAAUUCGUAGAUAUUCGGAGGAACACCAGUGGCGAAGGCGGCUCACUGGCUCGAUACUGACGCUGAGGUGCGAAAGCGUGGGGAGCAAAC
This 400-nucleotide ribosomal RNA is filed under the name uncultured bacterium. Its description in RNAcentral is "bacterial SSU rRNA". It matches the Rfam family "Bacterial small subunit ribosomal RNA", at positions 356 to 773 of the family's 1533-position model. The record is from RNAcentral.